RNAcentral lists this ribosomal RNA (789 nucleotides) under Methanoculleus sp. enrichment culture clone A5_62. RNAcentral's name for it is "bacterial SSU rRNA". It matches the Rfam family "Archaeal small subunit ribosomal RNA", at positions 85 to 879 of the family's 1478-position model. Lineage: Archaea; Methanobacteriati; Methanobacteriota; Methanomicrobia; Methanomicrobiales; Methanomicrobiaceae. The record is from RNAcentral.
ACUGCUCAGUAACACGUGGAUAACCUGCCCUAAGGAAGGGGAUAACCUCGGGAAACUGAGGAUAAUACCCUAUAGGUUACAGACGCUGGAAUGCCCUGUAACCGAAAGUUCCGGCGCCUUAGGAUGGAUCUGCGGCCGAUUAGGUUGUUGUUGGGGUAACGGCCCAACAAGCCGAUAAUCGGUACGGGUUGUGGGAGCAAGAGCCCGGAGUUGGAUUCUGAGACAUGAAUCCAGGCCCUACGGGGCGCAGCAGGCGCGAAAACUUUACAAUGCGGGAAACCGUGAUAAGGGAACCCCGAGUGCCUGUAUAUGCAGGCUGUCCAGGUGUCUAAAAAACACCUGAAGAAAGGGCCGGGCAAGACCGGUGCCAGCCGCCGCGGUAAUACCGGCGGCUCGAGUGGUGGCCACUUUUAUUGGGCUUAAAGCGUUCGUAGCUGGGUUGUUAAGUCUCUUGGGAAAUCUGACGGCUCAACCGUCAGGCGUCCAAGGGAUACUGGCAAUCUUGGAACCGGGAGAGGUGAGGGGUACUUCGGGGGUAGGAGUGAAAUCCUGUAAUCCUCGAGGGACCACCUGUGGCGAAGGCGCCUCACCAGAACGGCUUCGACAGUGAGGGACGAAAGCUGGGGGAGCAAACCGGAUUAGAUACCCGGGUAGUCCCAGCCGUAAACGAUGCGCGUUAGGUGUAUCGGUGACCACGAGUCACCGAGGUGCCGAAGGGAAACCGUGAAACGUGCCGCCUGGGAAGUAUGGUCGCAAGGCUGAAACUUAAAGGAAUUGGCGGGGGAGCAC